UACGGAGGGAGCUAGCGUUGUUCGGAAUUACUGGGCGUAAAGCGCACGUAGGCGGCUUUGUAAGUUAGAGGUGAAAGCCCGGAGCUCAACUCCGGAACUGCCUUUAAGACUGCAUCGCUUGAAUCCAGGAGAGGUGAGUGGAAUUCCGAGUGUAGAGGUGAAAUUCGUAGAUAUUCGGAAGAACACCAGUGGCGAAGGCGGCUCACUGGACUGGUAUUGACGCUGAGGAGCGAAAGUGUGGGGAGCGAACAGG
Molecule: ribosomal RNA, 253 nt
Filed under: uncultured bacterium
Lineage: Bacteria
Description: partial 16S ribosomal RNA
Rfam family: Bacterial small subunit ribosomal RNA
Source: RNAcentral